This 337-nucleotide ribosomal RNA is filed under the name Aphanomyces astaci. RNAcentral describes it as "partial large subunit ribosomal RNA". It matches the Rfam family "Bacterial large subunit ribosomal RNA", at positions 1443 to 1776 of the family's 2925-position model. The record is from RNAcentral. Lineage: Eukaryota; Oomycota; Saprolegniomycetes; Saprolegniales; Verrucalvaceae.
AAUUCUAAUUUAAUAGAAGUCAAGUUAUGGUCUGAGAGAUAACUUAAAAAUGGAAAGUUAUUUAGAAACAAGAUAAAAGGCAAAACACCAAACUUCAUACAAACUUAAAUGUUUGACAUUUAAAAAUUAAAGAGAUUUUUUUUUUAAGUGUAUUUGAGACAAAUAAGCCAACCUUGGUACAUAACCGCUGAAAACUAAAAAACCGUACCCUAAACCAACACAGGUGGAUAGGUCGAGUAGACUAAGGUGUAUGAGAUAAUUAUGUUGAAGGAACUCGGCAAAAUGACUCUGUAACUUCGGGAGAAAGAGUACCUUUUUAUUUAAAUGUUUAUCGACG